GGUUAUGUCGUAUAGUGGUUAGUACAACACGUUGUGGUUCUAUUCGCUGCUCCGUGUAAACCCUGGUUCGAUUCCAGGCAUAGCCA
This 86-nucleotide transfer RNA is filed under the name Trichodelitschia bisporula. It matches the Rfam family "tRNA". Rfam says of the family: Transfer RNA (tRNA) molecules are approximately 80 nucleotides in length. Their secondary structure includes four short double-helical elements and three loops (D, anti-codon, and T loops). Lineage: Eukaryota; Fungi; Ascomycota; Dothideomycetes; Phaeotrichales; Phaeotrichaceae. The record is from Rfam by way of RNAcentral.